UUUGAUUCGAACGGAGAGAAGCGGAAUCAGCCGAGAGAAGACUGGGGAAAAUAUGGAAAACACUUAAAGGAAAGGUACACAUAUAUGAAAGAAAACCAGUUAGAAGAUAUAGACAAUACGUGAAAUGAAUUCAAAUGAAAAACAACAUGUUUAUUGUUUGAGGGAAUCAGAAUAUUGGGAGAGAACCAAGACCUUCAAAAGUAACACAGAUAAUCCUUGACUAUUUAUAAUAGAGUUGGGUACACCUGUCUAGUACUUGAUUCGAACAGACAAACUCAGUGUUGACAGUCUUGUGAUACAGUAGAACGAGUACUAAGACCCUUAGUCUACCGAUCCCCACCCCAACAAUGGACAACAAAGACAUCAACAGAGAAGGAAUAUGUAAAUCAAUUAACUAAAUGUGAAUAAAAAGGCAAUAGGACUAAAAUUCGGAAUAGUGCUUAAAGAAAAUAAUAGCAUAAGCACAUACAUAUAAAAUAUUAUCUUCAUGUUUUUUUUUAGAAACUCACUAUCAACAGGAAAAGUAUCUCAUGAUUGUAAUAUAGCAGACGUAAUGAUUGAAGGUCAGGAUUAGAGAUCCUAUGAUUUAGUGUUC
Long non-coding RNA from Mytilus trossulus (common blue mussel), 595 nucleotides. RefSeq lists it as uncharacterized. Lineage: Eukaryota; Metazoa; Mollusca; Bivalvia; Mytilida; Mytilidae. The record is from RefSeq and is a predicted model, not a curated record. The transcript has 3 exons.